GACGAACGCUGGCGGCGUGCUUAACACAUGCAAGUCGAACGGUGAAGCGCCUUCCUUUUUGGUGGGUGUGGAUGAGUGGCGAACGGGUGAGUAACACGUGAGUAACCUGCCCCCUUCUUCUGGAUAACCGCAUGAAAGUGUGGCUAAUACGGGAUAUUCUGGGUCUGUCGCAUGAUGGGUCUGGGAAAGAUAUUGUUUCGGUGGGGGAUGGGCUCGCGGCCUAUCAGCUUGUUGGUGGGGUGAUGGCCUACCAAGGCGGUGACGGGUAGCCGGCCUGAGAGGGUGGACGGUCACACUGGGACUGAGACACGGCCCAGACUCCUACGGGGGGCAGCAGUGGGGAAUAUUGAGCAGUGGGCGCAAGCCUGAUGCAGCGACGCCGCGUGAGGGAUGGAGGCCUUCGGGUUGUGAACCUCUUUCGCCAGUGAAGCAGGCCUGCCUCGUUUGUGGGUGGGUUGACGGUAGCUGGAUAAGAAGCGCCGGCUAACUACGUG
RNAcentral lists this ribosomal RNA (494 nucleotides) under uncultured bacterium. RNAcentral describes it as "partial 16S ribosomal RNA". It matches the Rfam family "Bacterial small subunit ribosomal RNA", at positions 28 to 507 of the family's 1533-position model. The record is from RNAcentral.